This 492-nucleotide ribosomal RNA is filed under the name uncultured bacterium. RNAcentral's name for it is "partial 16S ribosomal RNA". It matches the Rfam family "Bacterial small subunit ribosomal RNA", at positions 29 to 507 of the family's 1533-position model. The record is from RNAcentral.
AGUGAACGCUGGCGGUAGGCCUAACACAUGCAAGUCGAACGGCAUCACUCUAAUAGCUUGCUCUUACGGGUUUCGCGUGGCGGACGGGUGUGGAAUACAUCGGAAUCUCCUUUUUCGUUGGGGCUACCGUUGGGAAACUUACGCCAUUACCGCUUACAACCUUCGGUUGAUAGUAGGUGAUCUUCGGAUCUUGCUCGAUUCAAUGAGACGUUGUCGUAUUAGCUAGUUGGCGGGGUAAAGGCCCACCAAGGCGACGAUCCGUAGCUGGUCUGAGAGGUUGAUCAGCCACACUGGAACUGAGACACGGUCCAGACUCCUACGGGAGGCAGCAGUAGGGAAUAUUGGACAAUGGGCGCAAGCCUGAUCCAGCCAUACCGCGUGGGUGAAGAAGGACUUCGGGUUGUAAAGCCCUUUUGUUGGGAAAGAAAAGCAGCAGGUUAACAACCCGCUGUUCUGACGGUACCCAAAGAAUAAGCAACGGCUAACUUCGUG